Long non-coding RNA from Pyrus x bretschneideri (Chinese white pear), 2973 nucleotides. RefSeq lists it as uncharacterized. Lineage: Eukaryota; Viridiplantae; Streptophyta; Magnoliopsida; Rosales; Rosaceae. The record is from RefSeq and is a predicted model, not a curated record. The transcript has 2 exons.
UAGAUUUAAUGGAAAUGAAUCUGGAUACAUAGCUCUUGACAAAAUGGAAACAAAGUUGUGGCUUCUCCUCCACCACUAUAUCCUCCAACACCAUGAUUACCACCUACUCCACCACCCCUUCAAUCCCUCACAUCUUCGCAAACAAAUCCCAGAUUUCCGUAGUUAGAAAUCUUAGAGGUUCAUGAAAGCAACAACAAUCAAUAGUGACCAAAACCCUAAUCGUGAUCCGCAAACUUGUCGAGUAAAAUUGUAUAGGAGAAAUCUUUCUCCUUGGUCUAGGAGGACUUGCCUUGGAGAGUCAUAACAAAACAGGGCCAGCAAAUGCGGCAGAGGUGUCAAAGAAGAUGGUGAAAUGUCUUAAGAACAAAUGUCAAACAUUUGCCUCUAACUUUUUUCAUGUUUCUCUAACCUAUUUUGUUAUAUUAUUCAACAUUGUUUUUCUCAUGGGCAUUAAUUAAAUUGCAUAUUUUUAGUUUGUUGAAUCAUGUGUGUGAUUAAAAUAUAGCAAUUAUGCACUACAUUUGUUCAAUAGGUAGUUUUGGUUGAGAGUAGUAAGUUGCCAAUAGCUUUGGACUCGGUGGUGAGACAAGGAGGAGGAAGAGGAGCUGUUGGUGAUUGAAGGGAUUGAGUAUGUGGCGGAUAAGGCUCUCAAGUUCGACGUGCAUGGGAACGAGGACGAGAUCUCGCUGAGUCUACCCGACAAGUCCGAGUUUGCAGGGAGCUUGGUGUACUUGCCACAGUUCCAGGAGAAGGUUAAAACCAGCCUGCAUCUUGGGAUUACGGACUUGUUGGAGGACUUGGGAGCUGACGACGAUGGCAGUAUUAAGGUAACUUUGGUGCCAAGGAAUGUCCAGCGGCCUGUCAUCAUUGGUCGGAUCAAGAUCGACUAUUUUGCCUAGAUAAUUAAGAGCGCAUAUGAUAAACCAUGGGGUCGUUUUUUGUUUUUUAUUUUAUAAUUUCCGUUCCAACUUUUCUAACAGUUUGUAACUGAGCACGGAUUGAAUACAUCUUGAUUUGUUGAUAUAUAGGUAAACAUGAGUAUUCAUUAUGCCAAUAAUUUUCUUGCUUCACUUGUAAAUUAUUGUAAAUUAUUCGUGUAAGUAGCGUAACAUUGUGGAAGAUGAUCAAGAAUCAAAAUACUGUAGUAUACCUACUAUAUCGAUCAUCCAGAUUCAGAAUUUCAGACCAAGUAGCCAUGCCGGCUGCGGGCUGCCGGCUGAACUACCUUUACGUCGUGCGGCCUCCUCUUUUGCUCUCCUCCACCUUUUAUAGUACUGCUAGCAGUACUGCUAAACGCGCCACUUUUGAAUAAUUUGUCCGCAUGAAAGUUGUACCUUGCUCUCAUAAACAAAUCUGCUGCUGUGCUUUGCUUGUUGUCCACUUUGUGUCUUCGUCAUUGGCUUUCCUCUUCUUACCUGCUUCCGCAACAUGAUUUGAAGUGCUAGAGCCUGGUUUGAGUCUAGUAACUGGUGUCGGCCACCAUGAAAGCAUGUAUGGGAAGACAGCCAUCACGGAGUUACUAAUUGCAGCAUAAUUAACCGGAGUGAUCCUACUAGUCUUCCUUGCCUUUCUUGCACGAAUGUUGCACAUGACAAUGUGUGCACUAAGGUCUAGAUACUGUUAGAGUAUGAGUGUGAUUCAUACGGUUUGGUAAUAAUCCUUGUUGUCUCAGAUUGCUAUAAAGAAGUCUUAAUAUGUUUAUGAGAGUUAAUUCGACUUUGGUUUGGAUUGACACUAUGUGUUGAUAAGCUUAAGAAUAGAACUCGUACAAGGAUUUGUUCUUGUAUUCCUUGUAGGAUUAUUAUAGGGUAAUCCAGAUUUGUAGUAUAAAACCACAAGCCCUGCUCUCACAAAAACACGCUUUUAUUGUUCCAAUUACCGAUAACUUGGAGAGCAUUGAGUUUUGCAGAGAUGAGAAGGUUGUGUGUGGAUUUCUCCAAAGGCUUUUAAUCCUAAUCUGUUGAACAUAGUUAUGAUAUGGUGUCUAGUACUACUCUUUCCUGUGAUCAAUGCCGCGAAACAUGAAGAAGUUAUUCAAGCUAAGAAAGAGAGUAGCAAUUAAAAGAGCAGCGAUCGGCCGUACGAAAGAAGAAUGGCAGCAACCCAGAGGUCCUUUCAGAAUUCAACAACUUCCAGAGGGUGCAGUCAUGGCCAUUCUCUCAAGGCUCGUCUCCAUCAAAACCAUCCUUAAUUGCCGGCUACGUCCGACUUCCCAAUUCGGGGAAGGCCUUGUUCUAUUGGUUUUUCAAGCCCAAGAUGAUGCAUCUCGAAAACCCCUUGUCCUGUUGGCUUAAUGGAAUAGCACCAUCUACUGUCUUCUGACAGCACACAUGGGAAAGACUUCGUGAAACAGUCUGCAGAUACAAGACAUCUUCAUUAUUUGGGUCGAAAGCAAGCACCCCUACUUUGUUGAUCAAUGCAUUUCGCACAACCAUUCUGGAUACCGAAAGCAGUUGACGAUCGGUUACCAUGACGUGACACGCUAUCAACACCAUUAAAAUAUUUGUGGGAAGAUCGAAACUUCCAUAGCCAGAACGCCUUUCUUGCACGAAUGUUGCACAUGACAAUGUGUGCACUGAGGUCUAGAUACAAGAUAUCUUCAUUAUUUGGGUCGAAAGCAAGCACCCCCACUUUGUUGAUCAAUGCGUUUCGCACAACCAUUCUGGAUACCGAAGCGCUGCUUGCCAAACACCAUUUGCCUGCAGAGUUGUCAACCUGAUCAUCAUCUUUCAACUCCCAAACAGUCAGAUCAUUCCCUCAAUUCUGAGCUAACUGGCACAUUCGCAAACACGUACCUCAUCUAGCUCUGUUACACACACCUAGGAAUUCAAAUGUUGUAGCUGUGUAAGUGAACUGAUCAUGUUUAGGCAUAUCAAUGAAGCGACAAUUGACAUUCGUAUCACCAGUGGUAUUACUUGUGAUGCUUGAUGUGUUAUCACUAAUGGAGUUGGGAUCCAGCCCCAUAUAUGUCCA